This 495-nucleotide ribosomal RNA is filed under the name uncultured bacterium. Its description in RNAcentral is "partial 16S ribosomal RNA". It matches the Rfam family "Bacterial small subunit ribosomal RNA", at positions 28 to 507 of the family's 1533-position model. The record is from RNAcentral.
GAUGAACGCUGGCGGCGUGCCUAAUACAUGCAAGUAGAACGCUGAAGGAGGAGCUUGCUCUUCUGGAUGAGUUGCGAACGGGUGAGUAACGCGUAGGUAACCUGCCUGGUAGCGGGGGAUAACUAUUGGAAACGAUAGCUAAUACCGCAUGACAACAGUUAUUGCAUGAUAACUGUUUAAAAGGGGCAACUGCUCCACUACCAGAUGGACCUGUGUUGUAUUAGCUAGUUGGUGAGGUAACGGCUCACCAAGGCGACGAUACAUAGCCGACCUGAGAGGGUGAUCGGCCACACUGGGACUGAGACACGGCCCAGACUCCUACGGGAGGCAGCAGUAGGGAAUCUUCGGCAAUGGACGGAAGUCUGACCGAGCAAUGCCGCGUGAGUGAAGAAGGUUUUCGGAUCGUAAAGCUCUGUUGUAAGAGAAGAACGAGUGUGAGAGUGGAAAGUUCACACUGUGACGGUAUCUUACCAGAAAGGGACGGCUAACUACGUG